This is a long non-coding RNA of Ictalurus punctatus (channel catfish), 3516 nucleotides long. NCBI's taxonomy places the organism in Eukaryota, Metazoa, Chordata, Actinopteri, Siluriformes, Ictaluridae. The record is from Ensembl.
UGCAUAAAAUCAGUAUAGCGAUGCAUUUAGAUCCUCAUUUUGUUUAACAUGAACUGGAUAUAUUUGUGAAAUUCUGUUUCACCAUAGGUGUGUGUUACGGUGAUGUGGGAGGCGAGAUGGACCCAGAGACCAGUGGGAUGCUGGGUAAUCGUGUUGGGUCCCUGUUUGCUGGGCGCAGCAGCUUCCAUCCGGGAGAGCCAAGGGACAGUCUGGUGCAUAUGUCCAAUGGUCUGUGUGCAUGUGGGUUCAUACAGAUAUUUAAUAACAUGUUUAAUGAUCAUUUUGACUUCUACAUCUAUCUAGCAGCAUUGUUCAAUAAAUAUUCUCACAUAGAGGAAAGCUUUUCAUAGUUUCAUUUGUUGGAUUUUUCUUUGCUUUGGGAUCUGAAAAGGCAUGACUUGAUGCACGGAUCAGAUGUUAACACUGUGAUGUCUUGUCCUGAUCUGUCAGGUGGUAGCGCCCCAUUGGUCAUCUGCUCAGACUGUUAUGACAACGCCAACAUCUACUCUCGCACAAGGGACUACUGCCACUACUCAUAUCUGAGUGAAGAAGAUGCUUUGGACGCCCAGCUGCCCAGAGACACAAGAGAGAGGGGCAGCAUGAGGAUGCAGCGCUGCACGACCUGAUCACCCGAGACUCUCAGGAGCCCCAGCACAACGCCUUACACCACUACCGUUGCAAAGAUGUUCCAAGCAGAUCGUUUUGGAGUGGCGUAGACCCUCAUUCCUCUGAGUUGUCCACGGGUUCAGUGACUGUCCACAAGCCACCAACAGGUCCCUCUAAUGGGAACGACCAUGAGGAAAGAACAGGAGGGCUAGAGGAAGCCUCGUACAGGACUAACCCUCAGGAUCAGAACCCUCCGAACACAUAGAGCCCAACCAACACCCGGUGUUUACGCCCUGCUCAGCGUGACCUACAAUCCCACUACCUCUUCCAAGUAAACUCACACUCUGUCAAAAAAAAAAAAAAGAAACCCAAACUUCACUCUCUUGUGUUUACAAUCCGUACCGUUCCCUCAUUGGAUCCUUGUGUGUUUCUUGUGAAUAACCCUUUCUAGGACACAGUGAUGAUGAUCUUCCCACUGAUUCCAUACAAACGGAUCCUCUGGUUUAAGUUGAGACUCUGAAUGUAAUGUUUCUUGUAGAGAGUCUUGCUCACUCUGCCUUUUGUCUUAAGGAUUGUUUUGCCCUUUUCCCCCCUCUACUGCGGGGAACAUGAACUCCCAUGUUUAUGCCAAAGCAUCGAGCCAGCCCUCUUUUAUGCUGCCCAGGCUUUGAAAAAGUGGUCAUGAUUGUCCUUGUAGGAAUCCUUGUAUGAUUCAGUGUGUGUACUGUUGAAUACAUGUAGGAGGACAUCACUCAGGCAGUUGAAUGCUGUCAUGGAGACAAACUCUGCAUUACUGUUUCCUGUUGGUCACAUCGAGCAGGUGAAGCUGGCAUGUAGGAAUAUUUUUCCUUUCUUAGAGUGGAAUGUGGUAAGAUGAAGUUACUCUUUGUCAGAUAAUGUUUUUUUUGUGCGUGUGUUGUUUUGUUGUCGACCCCACAAAGCCAGACAUGUACUCCAUUCCUUCUUUGUUUUUACAAAAGGCACUAUAUCUGACAGAAGAUGUAGAACACUUGCAACGUUGACAAUCGAGCUACAGCAGUCUUGCAGGGUCCUCCAUAUGCGUAGAGUCAACGGCCACCUUUAUUUUUCCUUCCCUCAAAUACAGUGCAUUCCUGUAUUUAUUUAAUUUUUUAUUCUUAUGCAGGCCUCUAGCUGUUGCACUCGCUUUGAAGCCAUUUCUCUUCACUAUGUACAAUCUGAAAGACUCACAAAGAAGAGCCACUGUGCUGUUAAAUAUAUGUACGAGUACUGUAUCCACAGUACCUUUUAAUUUCCAUCUUCCUCCCAUGCAUUUUAAAGCCUUAAGGGCAUUAAAUGUAUGUAUCAGACCCGGUUUAGUGCUCUGUCUAAUUCUUAAAUUCAUUUGUACAAUCGGCCUUGGGCUGAUUAUCAGAUUGCAUAUAUCUGUAACACAGACUUCAUCAGUUUUUAACAGUGUGAUUACUGUUCAAAGUGGACACUCUGUAGCACCACUAACACGCCCAAGUUAGUGACCGCAUCAGAUACGUCCGGAUCGGUGACGACGUCAGUAUUAAUAUCGUUCUCACCAUGGUGACCGUAGAAAUGAAAGGUCUCUUGAUUUGCAUUUCAAGUAAAAAGACACAUUUAACAAGUUCUCGCUCUAGCCAAGUUAACUCAUCCAGUUAUUGAUUUUUUGUUUGGACUGAUAUUCCUCACGUUGCUGAAUUGCCUUUGUUUCAGAUUUUGGUGUCUAAUAGCUACUUCUAUAAAUGGACAGUCCUGUAAUGGGGGACGCUUCUUCUUUAUUCAGCUUACAGCGAUAUUCCACCAUGAAAUAAGCUGUAUGCUUGGGCCAUAAACAGAACGAUUCCCCUCCCUAACAGUAGAUUUUGUUCUGAUCGUUAGCACUUUGUCUGUAGUACCUAGACUGAUGUUCAUUGCAGUACAUGUCCCAUUCUUUCUUUUUACCUGGGAUUUUUCCAAUUUCACCCACACUUGGUACAAUCCUAUAAAUGCUGCACAUCCCAUAGGAGGAUAAUUUGUUCCAAAGAGUGAGUGUGUGUGUGUAUGUGACUGAGUGUGAGAGAGUGAAAGCAAGAAAGACUGAGACGAAACUGAGGUACUCUAACAUGUAAUUGUAAAAUGUGUGUAUUGUGAAGUGCACUGCAGCAUUGCGUCACUACAGCCAGAUACAGUACGUAUCACGUAAUGUGUUAUGUUAUAUUUAUUUGACGUGAAUAUGCCGUUGCUCAGUUGUUUGCUCAUAAGUGUCUUCUGGUGCCACAUUUUCCACAUAGUUCGAAAUGUUUUUUUUUAUUUUUAAUUUCAGGAUAUAAUCUCAAUAUAAUGAACAUGUGUUGAUGUAUUGCAUUUGUUUCAGCUUGCUGUCCUGAUUUCCAGCUGUUUUAUGAUUUGCACAUGAUCCUUCAUUCCACUUUACAAAUCCUAGAGCAGAGCCAUGAUGUUUAUGCAGUUCUAUGAAUAGUAGCAGAGGGUGUGUACUGCCAGAGGUUUAUUAUGAAGUUUUCCAGGAAUUAAAAGCCGUUAAGAUCGGGGAUUAGUAGCUGUAGAGAAUAUCACUGCAAUUACUUGCACACAUUUGCUGUAAGAAAUGUAAAGCAACGUAAAUUCACUGUCCUAUACGAAAGACGUUUGAUGGUACAGUUAUAAUGGCUUUUACCGAGCAAUUAAAAACUUCUCAACAGAAGUUUCUCUCUGGUCUGAAAGUUCGAGUUGAAGGGCACAAAUUUAAGCAAAAAAAGUUUGAAUUUGGUUCACAAUUACACAUCUGCCAAUAUGUCUUUCUGAAUUUAAACCAAAGUUCAGCAUUAAUACUCUGACACUAUUCCAGUGCUGCUUUAAUGUACUUUGCUUGUAUAUUUUUUUUCAAUAUUGUACCUGUACAUUCUGUAAAGCAUGUAUAAAGAACUUUUUUGUUUUGAUGUUGCA